Molecule: long non-coding RNA, 558 nt
Filed under: Chinchilla lanigera (long-tailed chinchilla)
Lineage: Eukaryota; Metazoa; Chordata; Mammalia; Rodentia; Chinchillidae
Description: lncRNA (ENSCLAG00000022925.1)
Source: RNAcentral
AAUCUACGUGCUAUGGCUUGGAUCUAAAAUGUCACCUAGAGUGUCAUGGACUCCGAGGUGGUGCUGUUGGAAGUGAAGAAGUUUUGAAGUUCCUGUUUGAGCAUGGAGCUGCCUAUACUACAAAAAGAAAUUCCCUUCAGAGUAAAGCCCAGAGCAAACUCUUCUUCACUCUUCUGAAAAGGAAAGUUGAACAGCAAUGAAUCACACAAACUACAAACCUGACUAACCAAAUAAAGCUGUAGUACUUAAUUUAUGGAAUUGAUUAAUUUAUUGUGGACUCCAGAUCUGAUAGGCAUUAAAAAGUACGCGGACCCAAGCCAUGCAGGUGCCCAGGAGGCGAGCCACCUGCUCUUGGGAAGCCAGCGCCCAGGAAGCAGCACUGCGGCACGCACUGGAGCGCACCGGCCCUCAGGCCAGCCACCACCACGCAGUCGAGAACUAUCAUGGCACAGAGAUGCAAUGACACAAUUGGCCCGCCAUGCACUGGCCACGCAGGCCCUCCUGGGGACGUGCGUGAAUCAUCCCGACGUGGAGAAAUCCCUGGGAGUAUGUACCACA